CCAUCUGGAGCUGGUACAGGCUCGUCUUAUCUUGAGCCCAAGCAGAGCGUAGUCCCGCAACGAAAGGAUAAGCAGGUAAACGUGCUACAUGCUGAAGUUUAUUUACAAGCUAUGCUGAGAGCAUACAAACAUACAUCUUGCCUCUGUGAGAGCAGAGAAGCAACUCCCGUCUCUAACAAAUGACAGAACACUGAAAAACAGGAAACCAGUGUAUGUCACAUCCAGUCUCCCAUUCCCGUGGGAACCCAACAGUAACUUGGACUGUGGAAUGCAAAACAAUGUCUUGUGACAUGCAUUCGCUGCUCAGUGAGGAAGCAGAAACCAACA
Non-coding RNA from Podarcis lilfordi (Lilford's wall lizard), 327 nucleotides. NCBI's taxonomy places the organism in Eukaryota, Metazoa, Chordata, Lepidosauria, Squamata, Lacertidae. The record is from the annotation of a GenBank genome assembly.